RNAcentral lists this ribosomal RNA (460 nucleotides) under uncultured bacterium. Its description in RNAcentral is "partial 16S ribosomal RNA". It matches the Rfam family "Bacterial small subunit ribosomal RNA", at positions 338 to 795 of the family's 1533-position model. The record is from RNAcentral.
CCUACGGGUGACAGCAGUGAGGAAUAUUGGUCAAUGGACGAAAGUCUGAACCAGCCAAGUAGCGUGAAGGAUGACUGCCCUAUGGGUUGUAAACUUCUUUUAUAUGGGAAUAAAAUGUUCCUCGUGUGGGACUUAGUAUGUAUCAUAUGAAUAAGGAUAGGCUAAAUCUGUGCCAGCAGACGCGGUAAUACGGAGGAUCCGAGCGUUAUACGGAUUUAUUGAGUUUAAAGGGAGCGUAGGUGGAUUUUUAAGUCAGUUGUGAAAGUUUGCGGCUCAACCGUAAAAUUGCAGUUGAAACUGGCAGUCUUGAGUACAGUAGAGGUGAGCGGAAUUCGUGGUGUAGCGGUGAAAUGCUUAGAUAUCACGAAGAACUCCGAUUGCGAAGGCAGGUCACUGGACUGCAACUGACACUGAGGCUCGAAAGUGUGGGUAUCAAACAGGAUUAGAUACCCUAGUAGUC